GCCAAAGCUAACGCAUUAAACACUCCGCCCGGGGAGUACGGUCGCAAGGCUGAAACUCAAAGAAAUAGCCGGGGGCCCGCCCAAGCGGUGGAACAUUUGGUUUAAUUGGAAGCAACGUGAAGAUCCUUACCGGGUCUGGCCAUUCCUUAGCCCUGGUUUUAUAUUAAGUUUCCCCUUAGGGGCCAMCRGUGMCAGKUGKUSCAKGKUUKUCKUCAGYUCGKKUSGUGAGAUGUKGGGUUAAKUCCCSCAMCGAGCSCAMCCCUUGWUYUUAGUUGCCAUCAUUUAGUUGGCCAUUUUAAGGUGACUGCCGGUGACAAACCGGAGGAAGGUGGGGAUGACGUCAAAUCAUCAUGCCCCUUAUGCCCUGGGUUACACACGUGUUCCAAUGGACGAUACAAACGGUUGCCAACUCGGGAGAGGGAGCUAAUCCGAUAAAGUCGUUUUCAGUUCGGAUUGUAGGCUGCAAUUCGCCUCCAUGAAGCCGGAAUCGUUAGUAAUCGCGGAUCAGCAUGCCGCGGGGAAUACGUUCCCGGCCCUUG
Molecule: ribosomal RNA, 539 nt
Filed under: Lysinibacillus boronitolerans
Lineage: Bacteria; Bacillati; Bacillota; Bacilli; Caryophanales; Bacillaceae
Description: partial 16S ribosomal RNA
Source: RNAcentral